GACGAACGCUGGCGGCGUGCUUAACACAUGCAAGUCGAACGAAGAGCGAUGGAAGCUUGCUUCUAUCAAUCUUAGUGGCGAACGGGUGAGUAACGCGUAAUCAACCUGCCCUUCAGAGGGGGACAACAGUUGGAAACGACUGCUAAUACCGCAUACGAUCUAAUCUCGGCAUCGAGGAUAGAUGAAAGGUGGCCUCUACAUGUAAGCUAUCACUGAAGGAGGGGAUUGCGUCUGAUUAGCUAGUUGGAGGGGUAACGGCCCACCAAGGCGAUGAUCAGUAGCCGGUCUGAGAGGAUGAGCGGCCACAUUGGGACUGAGACACGGCCCAGACUCCUACGGGAGGCAGCAGUGGGGAAUCUUCCGCAAUGGACGAAAGUCUGACGGAGCAACGCCGCGUGAGUGAUGACGGCCUUCGGGUUGUAAAGCUCUGUUAAGCGGGACGAAAGGCCUUCUUGCGAACAGUUAGAAAGAUUGACGGUACCGGAAUAGAAAGCCACGGCUAACUACGUG
Molecule: ribosomal RNA, 510 nt
Filed under: uncultured bacterium
Lineage: Bacteria
Description: partial 16S ribosomal RNA
Rfam family: Bacterial small subunit ribosomal RNA
Source: RNAcentral